GAUCAGGCCAGUAAGGGCACACGGUGGAUGACUUGGCGUCAAGAGGCGAUGAAGGACGUGGCAACCUGCGAAAAGUCCAGGGGAGUUGGAAGCGAACUGUGAUCCUGGAAUGUCCGAAUGGGGAAACCCACCUCGCAAGAGGUAUCACGCACUGAAUGCAUAGGUGCGCGAAGCGAACCCGGGGAACUGAAACAUCUCAGUACCCGGAGGAAAGGAAAGCAACAGCGACUCCGUGAGUAGCGGCGAGCGAAAGCGGAUAGUCGAUAGCAUGACGAGCGCGUUGGAAUGCGCGGCCGAAGAAGGUGAAAGCCCUGUAAUCAUGUGAUUCGACACAGCCCUAGAGUAGGCUCGGGCUCGUGGAACCCGGGUUGAAGAUGGGGGGUCCACCCUCCAAGGCUAAGUACUACUUGACGACCGAUAGCGAAACAGUAAAGUGAUUGAAAGUUGAAAAGCACCGCCAUGAGCGGGGUGAAAGAGUACCUGAAACCGUGUGCUUACAAGCGGUCGGAGCCCUUCGGGGUGACGGCGUGCUUUUUGCAUAAUGAGCCCGCGAGUUAGUCUCUGUGGCGAGCCUAAGGCCUACCGGGCCGGAGGCGGAGCGAAAGCGAGUCUGAACAGGGCGUUCAGUCGCAGGGACUAGACACGAAACCUAUGUGAUCUACCCAUGGCCAGUGUGAAGGAGGGGUAAAACCCUCUGGAGGCAUGAACUCGUUGUCGUUGAAAAGACAUGAGAUGAGCUGUGGGGAGGAGUUAAAGUCUAAUCAAACUGGGAGAUAGCUUGUUCUCGCCGAAAUAACUUUAGGGUUAGCCUCAGGGUGCAACCGUCGGGGGUAGAGCGACUGGAUGGAUGGUGGGCCCUACCCGGGUACCCCGUCCAACCAAACUCCGAAUACCGAUGGCCGAGUCCUGGGAGAUAGACUGCGAGUGAUAAUAUCCGUAGUCAAAAGGAGAAUAAUCCAGACCGCCAGCUAAGGUCCCCAAUCUUGGCUCAGUUCGAAAGGAAGUCAGAUUGCCAUGACAACCAGGAUGUUGGCUUAGAAGCAGCCAUCAUUUAAAGAGUGCGUAAUAGCUCACUGGUCGAGGAGUCUGGCGCCGAUAAUGAUCGGGAAUAAGCCAAGAACCGAAGCUGCGGACGCGAAAGCGUGGUAGGCGAGCGUUCCACGGGCGGUGAAGAUUGUCCGUAAGGGCAGUUGGAGCGCGUGGAAGUGAAUAUGCGGGCUUGAGUAACGAUAAACAGGGUGAGAAUCCCUGUCGCCGUAAGUCCAAGGUUUCCUGGGGAAGGUAAAUCCGCCCAGGGUUAGUCGGGUCCUAAGGCGAGGCCGAAAGGCGUAGUCGAUGGCCAGCAGGUUAAUAUUCCUGCACACCCAUGGUGAUCAAAGCACGAUGCGGAUUCUUUAAGUCAGCGAAAGCAACAAGUUGCGAGGUCUAGGCCGAUGCUGAUGGCGGGAGUUCCCAGAAAAGUCGUGUGGGCAAAGUGGGUCCCGUACCAAAACUGACACAGGUGGACGAGGCGAAUAGCCUCAGGCGCUCGAGAGAACGGUCGUGAAGGAACUAGGCAAAAUCACCCCGUACGUUCGCAAGAAGGGGGCCCUUUGGGGCGCAGAGAAAAGGCUCUGGGAACUGUUUAUCAAAAACACAGCACUGUGCUAACUCGGAAGAGGAUGUAUACAGUGUGACGCUUGCCCAAUGCCGGAAUGUCACGGAACCGGGUCAGCUUCGGCGAAGCUCGGAACCCAAGCACCGGUCAAUGGCGGCCGUAACUAUGACGGUCCUAAGGUAGCGAAGUUCCUUGUCGGGUAAGUUCCGACGCGCAUGAAUAGCGUAAUCACCGGAGCACUGUCUCCACGACCGACUCGGUGAAAUAGUAGUGGCGGUGAAGAUGCCGCCUACCCGCAGCAAGACGGAAAGACCCCGUGGACCUUUACUGCAGGCUUCUAUUGGUCACGAGCACAUGAUGCGUAGCAUAGGUGGGAGGCUUUGAAGCGGAGGUUUAGGCCUUCGUGGAGCCACAGGUGAAAUACCACCCUUCGUGAGUUUGUGGCCUAACCUUGAUUCCCGUGAAACCGGGCAGGGGACAGUGGGUGCUGGGUAGUUUGACUGGGGCGGUCUCCUCCGAAAGAGUAACGGAGGAGUGCAAAGGUCGGCUCAGCGCGGAUGGAAACCGCGUUGUAGAGUGUAAAGGCAUAAGCCGGCUUUACUGCGAGUCCGACGGGACGAGCAGUUACGAAAGUAGGCCUUAGUGAUCCUGCGCUCCCGUGUGGAAGGGGCGUAGCUCAACGGAUAAAAGGUACCCCGGGGAUAACAGGCUUAUCGCUCCCGAGCGUCCAUAGCGGCGGAGCGGUUUGGCACCUCGAUGUCGGCUCAUCGCAUCCUGGGGCUGAAGGCGGUCCCAAGGGUUAGGCUGUUCGCCUAUUAAAGCGGUACGCGAGCUGGGUUCAGACCGGCGUGAGCCAGGUCGGUCCCUAUCUGUUGUGGGCGCGCCAGACUUGAAAGGAGUCAACCCUAGUACGAGAGGACUGGGUUGGACCAACCCCUGGUGAUCCUGUUGCGCCGCUCGGUGCAUCGCAGGGUAGCUACGUUGGGCAGGGAUAACCGCUGAAAGCAUCUAAGCGGGAAGCCCCCCUUGAGAUGAGGUCUGGUUGUCUUUUGACGAAAGACCCCCGGUAGACCACCGGGUUGAUAGGCCGCACGUGCAAGGGCUGAGAGGCCUUCAGCGGAGCGGUACUAACGGUCGAAGGUCUGAUCAC
RNAcentral lists this ribosomal RNA (2747 nucleotides) under Phycisphaeraceae bacterium. RNAcentral's name for it is "23S ribosomal RNA". It matches the Rfam family "Bacterial large subunit ribosomal RNA". Lineage: Bacteria; Pseudomonadati; Planctomycetota; Phycisphaerae; Phycisphaerales; Phycisphaeraceae. The record is from RNAcentral.